Thunnus maccoyii (southern bluefin tuna) is the source of this 527-nucleotide long non-coding RNA. RefSeq lists it as uncharacterized. NCBI's taxonomy places the organism in Eukaryota, Metazoa, Chordata, Actinopteri, Scombriformes, Scombridae. The transcript has 2 exons. The record is from RefSeq and is a predicted model, not a curated record.
ACACACACACACACACACACACACACACACACACACACACACACACACACACACAGAACCCAUUUAAUUAACAUUUCAAUAAGCUCUAAAGGUUUCAAACAAUCUAGAUUCGACUCUACGUCUAAUAUUGAAAGUAACAAACGUUCUCUCAUCUAAAGUUCCCUGAUGGUCCCUGAACGCCUCACAGGAAGUGAAUCACAUCUAUGACUCUUGAGGAGGACUGUCAACCCGACCGACUGCUGCUGAAAGUGGCCAACAACACCAACAACACCACAGACUGGGCUGAACUGGGCAGCUCCUAAGUGUGAACGUGUCGAUGAAUGAAUAAACUGUUCAGAUCUGACUCUGUGAGAACAGACAGUGAAGAAACAGGACGACUGCUGACGUGGGUGUUUUUAACUCUUUGAACCCUCAGCUGUUCAGUUUUUUUUUUCCUCCUUUCAUUUACAGGCUCAUGACACAGUCGGUACAUGUUGUAGUGAAGCCUGCCGUAUAUUUAUAUUGUCAGUAAUGACCUGUCGGAGGAG